AACGAACGCUGGCGGCAUGCCUAACACAUGCAAGUCGAACGAGACCUUCGGGUCUAGUUGCGCACGGGUGCGUAACGCGUGGGAACCUGCCCUUAGGUUCGGAAUAACUCCCCGAAAGGGGUGCUAAUACCGGAUAAUGUCUUCGGACCAAAGAUUUAUCGCCUUUGGAUGGGCCCGCGUUGGAUUAGCUAGUUGGUAGUGUAAAAGCCUACCAAGGCGACGAUCCAUAGCUGGUCUGAGAGGAUGAUCAGCCACACUGGGACUGAGACACGGCCCAGACUCCUACGGGAGGCAGCAGUGGGGAAUAUUGGACAAGGGGCGAAAGCCUGAUCCAGCAAUGCCGCGUGAGUGAUGAAGGCCUUAGGGUUGUAAAGCUCUUUUACCCGGGAUGAUAAUGACAGUACCGGGAGAAUAAGCUCCGGCUAACUCCGUG
Molecule: ribosomal RNA, 433 nt
Filed under: uncultured bacterium
Lineage: Bacteria
Description: partial 16S ribosomal RNA
Rfam family: Bacterial small subunit ribosomal RNA
Source: RNAcentral